AGAGUUUGAUCAUGGCUCAGGAUAAACGCUGGCGGCGUGCCUAAUGCAUGCAAGUCGAACGGGAGCCUUUUCGGAGGUCGACCGUGGCGGACGGGUGAGGAACACGUGGCUAACCUGCCCUGAUCUCGGGGAUAACCACUGGAAACGGUGGCUAAUACCGGAUGUGUUCGGUGAGGGGGACCUUGCUGAACAAAGCGUUAAGGAAGCGGAUCAGGAGGGGGCUGCGGCCGAUUAGCUAGCUGGUGGGGUAACGGCUUACCAGGGCAACGAUCGGUAGCUGGUCUGAGAGGAUGAUCAGCCACACGGGGACUGAGACACGGCCCCGACUCCUACGGGAGGCAGCAGCAAGGAAUUUUCCACAAUGGGCGCCAGCCUGAUGGAGCAACGCCGCGUGGGGGAUGACGCGUUUCGGCGUGUAAACCCCUUUUCCGGGGGACGAAAGCAAUGACGGUACCCUGGGAAGAAGGCCCGGCUAACUACGUGCCAGCAGCCGCGGUAAGACGUAGGGGCCGAGCGUUGUCCGGAGUUACUGGGCGUAAAGGGCGCGCAGGCGGUGUGUCGCGUCGGAUGUGAAAGCCCCCCGCUCAACGGGGGAGGGUCAUUCGAAACGGGCACACUGGAGGCAGGGAGAGGUCGGUGGAAUUCCCGGUGUAGUGGUGAAAUGCGUAGAUAUCGGGAGGAACACCAGUGGCGAAGGCGGCCGACUGGACCUGACCUGACGCUGAGGCGCGAAGGCGUGGGGAGCGAACGGGAUUAGAUACCCCGGUAGUCCACGCAGUAAACGAUGGACACUAGGUGUGGCGCGAGUUGACCCGUGCCGUGCCGGAGCUAACGCAGUAAGUGUCCCGCCUGGGGAGUACGGCCGCAAGGCUAAAACUCAAAGGAAUUGACGGGGCCCCGCACAAGCAGCGGAGCGUGUGGUUUAAUUCGACGCAACGCGCAGAACCUUACCAGGACUUGACAUCCCGGGAAUCCCCCGGAAAGGGGGGAGUGCUCUUCGGAGAGCCCGGAGACAGGUGUUGCAUGGCUGUCGUCAGCUCGUGUCGUGAGAUGUUGGGUUAAGUCCCGCAACGAGCGCAACCCCUGUGGCUAGUUACGUGGGUGUCUAGCCAGACUGCCGUGCAGACGGAGGAAGGCGGGGAUGACGUCAAGUCAGCAUGACCCUGAUGUCCUGGGCAACACACACGCUACAAUGGCCGGUACAGAGGGCAGCCAAGCCGUAAGGCGGAGCCAAUCCCAGAAAGCCGGUCUCAGUACGGAUUGGGGGCUGCAACUCGCCCCCAUGAAGGCGGAGUUGCUAGUAACCGCUGGUCAGCAUACAGCGGUGAAUAUGUUCCCGGGGCUUGUACACACCGCCCGUCACGUCAUGGAAGCCGGUAACACCUGAAGUCGGUGAGCCAACCGUAAGGAGGCAGCCGCCGAGGGUGGGACCGGUGACUGGGACGAAGUCGUAACAAGGUAGCCGUA
This 1467-nucleotide ribosomal RNA is filed under the name uncultured Chloroflexota bacterium. RNAcentral's name for it is "bacterial SSU rRNA". It matches the Rfam family "Bacterial small subunit ribosomal RNA". Lineage: Bacteria; Bacillati; Chloroflexota. The record is from RNAcentral.